AACGAACGCUGGCGGCAGGCCUAACACAUGCAAGUCGAGCGCGCCCUCCGGGGUGAGCGGCGGACGGGUGAGUAACGCGUGGGAACGUGCCCUUUUCUACGGAAUAGCCUCGGGAAACUGAGAGUAAUACCGUAUACGCCCUUUGGGGGAAAGAUUUAUCGGAAAAGGAUCGGCCCGCGUUGGAUUAGGUUGUUGGUGGGGUAAUGGCCUACCAAGCCGACGAUCCAUAGCUGGUUUGAGAGGAUGAUCAGCCACACUGGGACUGAGACACGGCCCAGACUCCUACGGGAGGCAGCAGUGGGGAAUCUUAGACAAUGGGGGCAACGCUGAUCUAGCCAUGCCGCGUGAGUGAUGAAGGCCGUAGGGUUGUAAAGCUCUUUCAGCUGGGAAGAUAAUGACGGUACCAGAAGAAGAAGCCCCGGCUAACUCCGUG
RNAcentral lists this ribosomal RNA (433 nucleotides) under uncultured bacterium. RNAcentral describes it as "partial 16S ribosomal RNA". It matches the Rfam family "Bacterial small subunit ribosomal RNA", at positions 29 to 507 of the family's 1533-position model. The record is from RNAcentral.